CUUAGGCGACCCCUGGGAAAGGGUCGCAAGACCCCCAGAGGUUGAGAACCACUGGAUUAGAUGUCAGAUGUUAGGUAAUACCAGUUUGUUGGCGUCACAGUCUCUAAACUGACAAUACCAGAGCGAUUCAGUUUUGUUUUGCUUUUUCAUAUUCUAAAUCUAGCAAGCAGCUGAUUGUUGAGAGUCAGGUGGAUCCAAGGCUUUCUCAGAGGUCCCCAGGAAAGGACAAAAGGAACCUAGUUCAGUGUCCUUGCCCAGGGGCAGACUUGGCCAAGUCCAGUCUGGGGCUGGAGCCAGGACCUAGAAGGAGUCCGACUUUCCAUUCCUGGGAAUGUGGCUUUCCCCACUGAAGAGAUUGGCGUUAUCAGUCCCAGGGACUUUGUGUGCUUGGCCUGUGAUAGCCCUGAGGUAUCCUGUGCUCCUCUUGUGCAGCACUGCUUGAUGAACUUCCUGCUGACUCUGUCCCAUUUCCCCCCUGCAAACAGGAUACAAGAUGGCGUUCUUCUUAAUAAACUUGCUUGGCAUAAGACAGAGCUUGUGGGAGACCUCCUGGGCCCACCUUUUCUAUCUUCUUGAUCUCUGAACUCCUGGACUUUCCUCAUCAGUACUGAAGAACAACUUACUGGCCAAGAAACAGCUGGAUUCUCAUCUGCUUCUGCAUGCAGUCAUUCAUGUGUUUGGGCUAUCCCUUAUCACGUAGCGAGUGAGUGAAAAGCAAACCAUGUCUGAAUGUUAUGAUGAACAUAGUUUUGAUCCAUGGACAGCACAGUGGGUCAAACCAGAGGCGCCAGCACUACACUCUGAGAAUUGAUUGUUGGACAGAAGUUCUUCCAGGCCUGCUUUCAAGUGCCCGUCUACGAGUACAGUGACGAAACUUCCGCAGCGCCCCGCUCCCGCCUCUUUGGUCAGCGCCACACUCACCCUCACAGCACGCCCCGUGAACACUGAGCCAGUGACGCUACUUCUGAAGGUUCUGGUCUGGUUCAGUGGCAGAAGGCCCUUGUGGUACUGCAGAGCAAUCCGGGCGGUCACUCCCGAGCCCGUGGGGCUCCUGUCGACCUGUUUCAGAAUCAGGAAUGACAGGAGGUGAGUGUUCUCCAUCAGCUGCUCCUGGUGUUUGCGCCUAACAGCUGCUGUCCUGAUACCUGUUCAUCUGCAAAGACACAGAUGUUGGUGGUGGGCUCCUCGCUGUAGGCGUCUUUUCCGUCUGUUAAAAUAGUGCCAUACAGAAAACCAAGGUCUUCACUCUCGGGGUGGGUGAUUUUAAACUGCAAAUAAAGUGGCCAUAUGUAAAAUGUUUUGACUCAAAUUUUGUCUUUAGAAAUAAUGUCAACAACAGACUCUCAAGACAUAAUUUUCUCAAUAUGUACCGUUUUUGAAAUUACCUUCUGGGAUAAGCCUAAAUAAAUGCUUGAUAUUAUAUUGCUCUCUAGAUAUAAA
This is a long non-coding RNA of Peromyscus leucopus (white-footed mouse), 1440 nucleotides long. RefSeq lists it as uncharacterized. The transcript has 2 exons. Lineage: Eukaryota; Metazoa; Chordata; Mammalia; Rodentia; Cricetidae. The record is from RefSeq and is a predicted model, not a curated record.